UACAGAGGUCUCAAGCGUUAAUCGGAAUUACUGGGCGUAAAGAGCGUGUAGGCGGCCCGGUAAGUCCGCUGUGAAAGUCGGGGGCUCAACCCUCGAAUGCCGGUGGAUACUGCCGGGCUAGAGUCCGGAAGAGGCGAGUGGAACUCCUGGUGUAGCGGUGGAAUGCGCAGAUAUCAGGAAGAACACCAACGGCGAAGGCAGCUCGCUGGGACGGUACUGACGCUGAGACGCGAAAGCGUGGGGAGCGAACAGG
This 253-nucleotide ribosomal RNA is filed under the name uncultured bacterium. RNAcentral describes it as "partial 16S ribosomal RNA". It matches the Rfam family "Bacterial small subunit ribosomal RNA", at positions 524 to 776 of the family's 1533-position model. The record is from RNAcentral.